CCUACGGGAGGCAGCAGUGGGGAAUAUUGGGCAAUGGGCGCAAGCCUGACCCAGCAACGCCGCGUGAAGGAAGAAGGCUUUCGGGUUGUAAACUUCUUUUGUCAGGGAAGAGUAGAAGACGGUACCUGACGCAUAAGCCACGGCUAACUACGUGCCAGCAGCCGCCGUAAUACGUAGGUGGCAAGCGUGGUGCGGAUUUACUGGGUGUAAAGGGCGUGUAGCCGGGUUGACAAGUCAGAUGUGAAAUCCUGCGGCUUAACCGCAGAACUGCAUUUGAAACUGUUGAUCUUGAGUAAUGGAGAGGCAGACGGAAUUCCUAGUGUAGCGGUGAAAUGCGUAGAUAUUAGGAGGAACACCAGUGGCGAAGGCGGUCUGCUGGACAGCAACUGACGGUGAGGCGCGAAAGCGUGGGGAGCAAACAGGAUUAGAUACCCUGGUAGUC
This 442-nucleotide ribosomal RNA is filed under the name uncultured bacterium. RNAcentral describes it as "partial 16S ribosomal RNA". It matches the Rfam family "Bacterial small subunit ribosomal RNA", at positions 338 to 795 of the family's 1533-position model. The record is from RNAcentral.